UACGGGGGGAGCAAGCGUUGUUCGGAUUUACUGGGCGUAAAGGGCGGGUAGGCGGCCACCGCAAGUCAGUUGUGAAAUCUCCGGGCUUAACCCGGAAAGGUCAACUGAUACUGUGCGACUAGAGUGCAGAAGGGGCAACUGGAAUUCUCGGUGUAGCGGUGAAAUGCGUAGAUAUCGAGAGGAACACCUGCGGCGAAGGCGGGUUGCUGGGCUGACACUGACGCUGAGGCGCGAAAGCCAGGGGAGCGAACGGG
RNAcentral lists this ribosomal RNA (254 nucleotides) under uncultured bacterium. RNAcentral describes it as "partial 16S ribosomal RNA". It matches the Rfam family "Bacterial small subunit ribosomal RNA", at positions 524 to 776 of the family's 1533-position model. The record is from RNAcentral.